AGAGUUUGAUCAUGGCUCAGGAUGAACGCUAGCGGCAGGCUUAACACAUGCAAGUCGAGGGGCAGCGGGGUGUAGCAAUACACUGCCGGUCGACCGGCGCACGGGUGCGUAACGCGUAUGCAACCUACCCAUAACAGGGGCAUAACACUGAGAAAUUGGUACUAAUUCCCCAUAACAUUCGAAGAGGCAUCUACUUUGGGUUGAAAACUCCGGUGGUUAUGGAUGGGCAUGCGUUGUAUUAGCUAG
This 246-nucleotide ribosomal RNA is filed under the name uncultured bacterium. Its description in RNAcentral is "partial 16S ribosomal RNA". It matches the Rfam family "Bacterial small subunit ribosomal RNA", at positions 8 to 248 of the family's 1533-position model. The record is from RNAcentral.